This 285-nucleotide ribosomal RNA is filed under the name uncultured bacterium. RNAcentral describes it as "partial 16S ribosomal RNA". It matches the Rfam family "Bacterial small subunit ribosomal RNA", at positions 773 to 1060 of the family's 1533-position model. The record is from RNAcentral.
GUGGAUUAGAUACCCUAGUAGUCCACGCCGUAAACGAUGAGCACUAGUUGUUGGGUCCGAACGGAUUCAGUGACGCAGUUAACGCAAUAAGUGCUCCGCCUGGGGAGUACGGUGGCAACACUAAAACUCAAAGGAAUUGACGGGGACCCGCACAAGCAGCGGAGCAUGUGGUUUAAUUCGAAGCAACGCGAAAAACCUUACCAGGGCUUGACAUCCCUCUGACAGAUCCUUAACCGGAUCCUUCUUCGGACAGAGGAGACAGGUGGUGCAUGGCUGUCGACAACU